GACGAACGCUGGCGGCGUGCUUAACACAUGCAAGUCGAACGGAAAGGCCCUGCUUUUGUGGGGUGCUCGAGUGGCGAACGGGUGAGUAACACGUGAGUAACCUGCCCUUGACUUUGGGAUAACUUCAGGAAACUGGGGCUAAUACCGGAUAGGAGCUCCUGCUGCAUGGUGGGGGUUGGAAAGUUUCGGCGGUUGGGGAUGGACUCGCGGCUUAUCAGCUUGUUGGUGGGGUAGUGGCUUACCAAGGCUUUGACGGGUAGCCGGCCUGAGAGGGUGACCGGCCACAUUGGGACUGAGAUACGGCCCAGACUCCUACGGGAGGCAGCAGUGGGGAAUAUUGCACAAUGGGCGGAAGCCUGAUGCAGCAACGCCGCGUGCGGGAUGACGGCCUUCGGGUUGUAAACCGCUUUCGCCUGUGACGAAGCGUGAGUGACGGUAAUGGGUAAAGAAGCACCGGCUAACUACGUGCCAGCAGCCGCGGUGAUACGUAAGGUGCGAGCGUUGUCCGGAUUUAUUGGGCGUAAAGGGCUCGUAGGUGGUUGAUCGCGUCGGAAGUGUAAUCUUGGGGCUUAACCCUGAGCGUGCUUUCGAUACGGGUUGACUUGAGGAAGGUAGGGGAGAAUGGAAUUCCUGGUGGAGCGGUGGAAUGCGCAGAUAUCAGGAGGAACACCAGUGGCGAAGGCGGUUCUCUGGGCCUUUCCUGACGCUGAGGAGCGAAAGCGUGGGGAGCGAACAGGCUUAGAUACCCUGGUAGUCCACGCUGUAAACGGUGGGUACUAGGUGUGGGGUCCAUUCCACGGGUUCCGUGCCGUAGCUAACGCUUUAAGUACCCCGCCUGGGGAGUACGGCCGCAAGGCUAAAACUCAAAGGAAUUGACGGGGCCCCGCACAAGCGGCGGAGCAUGCGGAUUAAUUCGAUGCAACGCGUAGAACCUUACCUGGGUUUGACAUGGAUCGGGAGUGCUCAGAGAUGGGUGUGCCUCUUUUGGGGUCGGUUCACAGGUGGUGCAUGGCUGUCGUCAGCUCGUGUCGUGAGAUGUUGGGUUAAGUCCCGCAACGAGCGCAACCCUUGUUCACUGUUGCCAGCACGUUAUGGUGGGGACUCAGUGGAGACCGCCAGGGUCAACUCGGAGGAAGGUGGGGAUGACGUCAAGUCAUCAUGCCCCUUAUGUCCAGGGCUUCACGCAUGCUACAAUGGCUGGUACAGAGAGUGGCGAGCCUGUGAGGGUGAGCGAAUCUCGGAAAGCCGGUCUCAGUUCGGAUUGGGGUCUGCAACUCGACCUCAUGAAGUCGGAGUCGCUAGUAAUCGCAGAUCAGCAACGCUGCGGUGAAUACGUUCCCGGGGCU
This 1346-nucleotide ribosomal RNA is filed under the name uncultured bacterium. RNAcentral describes it as "partial 16S ribosomal RNA". It matches the Rfam family "Bacterial small subunit ribosomal RNA", at positions 28 to 1381 of the family's 1533-position model. The record is from RNAcentral.